Molecule: ribosomal RNA, 468 nt
Filed under: uncultured bacterium
Lineage: Bacteria
Description: partial 16S ribosomal RNA
Rfam family: Bacterial small subunit ribosomal RNA
Source: RNAcentral
GACGAACGCUGGCGGCGUGCUUAACACAUGCAAGUCGAACGGAAAGGCCCUGCUUUUGUGGGGUGCUCGAGUGGCGAACGGGUGAGUAACACGUGAGUAACCUGCCCUUGACUUUGGGAUAACUUCAGGAAACUGGGGCUAAUACCGGAUAGGAGCUACUGCUGCAUGGGGGGGGUUGGAAAGUUUCGGCGGUUGGGGAUGGACUCGCGGCUUAUCAGCUUGUUGGUGGGGUAGUUGCUUACCAAGGCUUUGACGGGUAGCCGGCCUGAGAGGGUGACCGGCCACAUUGGGACUAAGGUAGGCAGCAGACUGCUACGGGAGGCAACAGUGGGGAAUAUGGCACAAUGGGCGGAAGCCUGAUGCAGCAACGCCGCGUGCGGGAUGACGGCCUUCGGGUUGUAAACCGCUGUCGCCUGUGACGAAGCGUGAGUGACGGUAAUGGGUAAAGAAGCACCGGCUAACUACGUG